Molecule: long non-coding RNA, 412 nt
Organism: Varanus komodoensis (Komodo dragon)
Lineage: Eukaryota; Metazoa; Chordata; Lepidosauria; Squamata; Varanidae
Exons: 2
Source: RefSeq, a predicted model, not a curated record
UUCACCCCGCUCAUGACGACGUUGUUGAUGCUGACUUCCCCGUACCAGUACCAGGUCUCCUAGCAGGAAGCACAAAGAAGGGAGGGGGGAUUCAGUGCAUGUCCUUCGGCUUUACCGAAAAAGAGGCCACAGCAAGCGGUGCAGAGAGUGAUACGAUUCCCAGUUUCAGGCAGCAGCUGGUUGCGCAUUUCUGGAGCUCUCCCCCCGCCGCAAGGCCCAUCUCCUCACAGUGCUGCAGGGUUCGUUUUGCACAAGAUUUUGGUGGGCCCAGUUGCAGGAACAUGCCUGACAUCAAACAGCAUCAGCCCUGCUUAGGUCAACACAGAUGAGAGAUCGGAAAGGAUGCAGUUACCCUCGGCUCUUGAACUAGGAAUUGGCAGCUGCACAAGAAAAUAAACCAGAUCUGCAAGCA